UACGAAGGGGGCUAGCGUUGCUCGGAAUCACUGGGCGUAAAGCGCACGUAGGCGGAUUUUUAAGUCAGGGGUGAAAUCCUGGAGCUCAACUCCAGAACUGCCUCUGAUACUGGGAAUCUUGAGUCCGGGAGAGGUGAGUGGAACUGCGAGUGUAGAGGUGAAAUUCGUAGAUAUUCGCAAGAACACCAGUGGCGAAGGCGGCUCACUGGCCCGGUACUGACGCUGAGGUGCGAAAGCGUGGGGAGCAAACAAG
RNAcentral lists this ribosomal RNA (253 nucleotides) under uncultured bacterium. RNAcentral's name for it is "partial 16S ribosomal RNA". It matches the Rfam family "Bacterial small subunit ribosomal RNA", at positions 524 to 776 of the family's 1533-position model. The record is from RNAcentral.